Hemicordylus capensis (graceful crag lizard) is the source of this 705-nucleotide long non-coding RNA. RefSeq lists it as uncharacterized. The record is from RefSeq and is a predicted model, not a curated record. NCBI's taxonomy places the organism in Eukaryota, Metazoa, Chordata, Lepidosauria, Squamata, Cordylidae. The transcript is spliced from 3 exons.
CUUAAAGGGAAACAACAACAGAAGCUCCCUGCUUGAGCACACACAAUGAUCUGCUUAAUGACUGAGUCAUAGAAGAAAUGCACCCAUGCAGCAUGACUGUAAUGUCUUUUCCAGCAUUAUUGAAGUUAGCGAGAAAUAUAUGCCUCUAGUCAACUUGACUGAAGACCUAUGCGGAAGGCAUAGGAAGUGUGCCGUGUACCAGUGGGAGAUCCAUGCCCAAAGCAUCACUAACACAUCUAACAUGGACGCUUCCCACCGCCUCCUGCUCUAUACAUUGCUCUGUCAUUGAGCAUGGGCUGCCAUGUAUAUGACAGUGAGGAUGAUGGAACUAGCAGGAGGCACUUACCAACAAGAAUAAUUUCAAAAUUUACUCUGCUAAUACAAGCAACCCUUCAACUUGUAGAUAGCAUGUCAGAUGGCAUUUCAUCACAUAUUUAUUUGAACCGAAAGCCUAUGAUCAACGUGACGAAGAGAGGAGACAGUACAGCAUGCAUUACUGAGAGCUACUAAAAAGUUAUCAGUGGCAGAGAAAAUGUCUUCUUUGAAACACGAAGGGAGGAUGAUGAAGGUAAUAGCUUCAAGCCUGAGUGGACUGAUUUCUAUUACUUUGGUGCAUGUCCUCCAAGCAAAGUAUGUUUGUUUGUAUCACAGGCACGGCAACGGUUGUCAUCAUUUUAUUAAGCAGAAACAAAACUAUGGCAUUGA